This 452-nucleotide ribosomal RNA is filed under the name uncultured organism. Its description in RNAcentral is "partial 16S ribosomal RNA". It matches the Rfam family "Bacterial small subunit ribosomal RNA", at positions 331 to 799 of the family's 1533-position model. The record is from RNAcentral.
GUACACUCCUACGGGAGGCAGCAGUGGGGAAUAUUGGACAAUGGGCGCAAGCCUGAUCCAGCCAUGCCGCGUGAGUGAUGAAGGCCCUAGGGUUGUAAAGCUCUUUCACCGGUGAAGAUAAUGACGGUAACCGGAGAAGAAGCCCCGGCUAACUUCGUGCCAGCAGCCGCGGUAAUACGAAGGGGGCUAGCGUUGUUCGGAUUUACUGGGCGUAAAGCGCACGUAGGCGGACUAUUAAGUCAGGGGUGAAAUCCCGGGGCUCAACCCCGGAACUGCCUUUGAUACUGGUAGUCUUGAGUUCGAGAGAGGUGAGUGGAAUUCCGAGUGUAGAGGUGAAAUUCGUAGAUAUUCGGAGGAACACCAGUGGCGAAGGCGGCUCACUGGCUCGAUACUGACGCUGAGGUGCGAAAGCGUGGGGAGCAAACAGGAUUAGAAACCCUGGUAGUCCCAUG